This 301-nucleotide ribosomal RNA is filed under the name uncultured bacterium. Its description in RNAcentral is "partial 16S ribosomal RNA". It matches the Rfam family "Bacterial small subunit ribosomal RNA", at positions 509 to 807 of the family's 1533-position model. The record is from RNAcentral.
CAGCCGCCGCGGGAAUACGUAGGUGGCAAGCGUUGUCCGGAAUUAUUGGGCGUAAAGCGCGCGCAGGUGGUUUAAUAAGUCUGAUGUGAAAGCCCACGGCUCAACCGUGGAGGGUCAUUGGAAACUGUUAAACUUGAGUGCAGGAGAGAAAAGUGGAAUUCCUAGUGUAGCGGUGAAAUGCGUAGAGAUUAGGAGGAACACCAGUGGCGAAGGCGGCUUUUUGGCCUGUAACUGACACUGAGGCGCGAAAGCGUGGGGAGCAAACAGGAUUAGAUACCCCCGUAGUCCCUGUCUCUUAUAC